CUAAAUCCUUGUUCGAGGUAUCUGUCUUUGUUGAGAGCCAAAACUACAGACUAUUUGCAAUGGAGAAACUGUUUAUGUAGACAUAUAAGGGCACUAGUUUAUGCAAGAAAUUUUAGAAGCUUUGCUAAGAUGACACUUCAAUCAGUACUUAACAAUGUUGUAAAUGCUAGAUGGUUCUCAGAGCCUCUUAUUUAUUUAAAACAUUUUUUACAACUUUAAAACUAUUUUUAUACUAGAUAAAUCUUUUCAAACACUAAUCAUUACGAGUAAACAUUAAAAAAAAAAUCUCUGUAUAAAUGUGGAUAAAAGCAUCCUUUUUCUUUUGUAGUUUGUAUUCCAAACCAACCCUUCUCUCUCUCUCUCUCUCUCUCUCUCUCUCUUUAAACCAAGUCAGGAGUUCUGGCAGUUUUACCAGGGAAUUUUGACAAAUAGAAAAAUUUGACUGGAUAUCUUCCCCUGCUCCCCCCAUAUCCUGUCUCGCCCCAUACCCCCGCCAUGUGUGAUUCAGGAGAAGUUUGAGCUGAGAUGGCUUGCCAGCUGAGGAAGUCAGAACACAGAUACUGAUGAUAUGAUCGUGCAUGCCCAUUUCAGACAGACAGAAACAGCGCUUUGCUGAAACCCUUCUGGGAGUUCGUGGCCCUGCAGUAAAUCUUUCUCUGCUCCAACUCCGUUUUGGUUUGUUUGGCCUCGCUGUGCAUCAGACACCUGAACGUGCCUUUGGUAACAGUAAGCCCUUGAUAGGUUUGCUGUGUCCUACAGCUCCAGGAGUUGGUGAUGGACAGGGAAGCCUGGCGUGCUGCAGUCCAUGGGGUCGCAAAGAGUCGGACACAACUGAGUGACUGAACCGAAAUGAACAGAGUCACCAGGUGAAAGUAAUCCAGACGUCCUUGCCAUUGGUUCGGCCAGCUUCCAGCCCAAGAGAGGUUCUUUGCUUCCUUCGUUCCCAGAACCAUCUGCUGACCAGUCUGAGGUUAAACAAACCAUUCGUUCAGCUUUCCUCCGCCAACCGGCUACAUAGAGACAGAUUGAAGUUCAAUGAUGAAUACAAUUCCUCAUUGAGAGGAUACGGGCUCAUCAGCAUGCACCAAUGGCCUGCCUCACGUUCAGAAAAACAAAGAUGAGAGCAGCUAUGGAAAGCAAUUGAUAUUCCUGCCCAGGUUGGAGUUGAUGUGCAAAUGGAUAAACACAAUGUUACCAUUCCAAGGAAACUAUCUGGAAUCACACCAGCAGGGGUUUGAUGCUGAAUUUCCUCCUGUUUUUAGCUCCGUUGUCAUUUCAGAAGCUGAGAAACCAAGAAUCUCCUAGAGAUGUAUUAAGGGAUUCCAACCCCUAACAGGGG
This is a non-coding RNA of Odocoileus virginianus texanus, 1339 nucleotides long. NCBI's taxonomy places the organism in Eukaryota, Metazoa, Chordata, Mammalia, Artiodactyla, Cervidae. The record is from RefSeq and is a predicted model, not a curated record.